AAUUUUUUCGUUCAGGUGCAGCGUGGCCUGCUCCUGGGAGCGUAACGGUAUGUUUGAAGGUUUGAUUCUGGCUCAGAUUGAACGCUGGCGGGAUACUUACACAUGCAAGUCGAACGGCAGCACGGACUUCGAUGCAGUGGCGAGUGGCAGGCGGGUGGGUGAAGUAAUGUAUCCGGAACGUGCCCUAGUAGCAGGGGAUAACUACGCGAAAGCGUAGCUAAUACCACAUACGCCCUUCCAGGAAAGCAGGGGACCUUCGGGCCUCGCACUAUUAGAGCGGCCGAUAUCGGAUUAGCUAGUUGGUGGGGGUAACGGCUCGCAAGGCGACGAUCCGUAGCUGGUUUGAAAGACGACCAGCCACACUGGGACUGAGACACGGCCCGAACUCCUACGAGGCAACGAUGGGGGAAUUUUGGACAAUGGAAGCCCUGAUCAGCCAUCCACGUGUGCGAUGAAGGCCCCUUCGGGUUGUAAAGCACUUUUGGCAGGAAAACGGCACGGGAUAAUACCCCGUGCAACUGACGAACACCUGCAGAAUAAGCACCGGCUAACUACGUGCCAGCAGCCGCGAUGUACGUAAGGUGCAAGCGUCGUCGGAAUUACUGGGCGUAAAGCGUGCGCAGGCGGUUCGGAAGAAGAUGCUGAAAUCCCAGAGCUUAACUUUACGGAACUGCAUUUUUAACUACCGAGCUAGAGUGUGUCAGGAGGUGGAAUUCCGCGUGUAGCAGUGAAAUGCGAAUCAUGCGGAGAACACCGAUAGCGAAAGGCAACCUCCUGGGAUAACACUGACGCUCAUGCGCGACAAUAGGAGCAGCAGGAUUAGAUACCCUGGUAGUCCACGCCUAAACGAUGUCAACUGCUGUUGAACCUUCGGACGCUUGGUAGCGCAGCUAACGCGUGAAGUUGACCGCCUGGGAAAUACAGUCGCAAGAUUAAACUCAAAAUUGGCGGACCCGCACAAGCGGUGGAUGAUGUGGAUUAAUUCGAUGCAACAUGAAAACCUUCCACUACCCUUGACAAUAUCUGGAAUCCCGAAGAGAUUUGGGAGUGCUCGCAAAGAGAACCGGAACACAGGUGCUGCAUGGCUGUCGUCAGCUCGUGUCGUGAGAUGUUGGGUUAAGUCCCACUAACCGACGCAUGCUGUCAUUAGUUGCUACGAGGCACUCUAAUGAGACUGCCGGUGACAAACCGGCGGAGAGAGUGUGGGGAUGACGUCAAGUCCUCAUGGCCCUUAUGGGUAGGGCUUCACACACGUCAUACAAUGGUCGGGACGGGGUGUGGCUUACGAGGGCUAUUGACGAAACCGAUCGUGGUCCGGAUCGCAGUCUGCAACUCGACUGCGUGAAGUCGGAAUCGCUGGUAAUCGCGGAUCGGCUUAUCUCGCGGUGAAUACGUUCCCGGGUCUUGUACACACCGCCCGCCACACCAUGGGAAUUGGGUUUACCAGAAGUAGUUAGCCUAACCGUAAGGAGGGCGAUUACCACGGUAGGAUUCAUGACUGGGGUGAAGUCGUAACAAGGUAG
Molecule: ribosomal RNA, 1523 nt
Filed under: uncultured Bordetella sp.
Lineage: Bacteria; Pseudomonadati; Pseudomonadota; Betaproteobacteria; Burkholderiales; Alcaligenaceae
Description: partial 16S-23S ribosomal RNA intergenic spacer
Rfam family: Bacterial small subunit ribosomal RNA
Source: RNAcentral